This 4238-nucleotide long non-coding RNA is filed under the name Hordeum vulgare. RNAcentral's name for it is "long non-coding RNA (HVUL_LNC017183)". The record is from RNAcentral. Lineage: Eukaryota; Viridiplantae; Streptophyta; Magnoliopsida; Poales; Poaceae.
CGUCACCAUAGCUAACCGAGGAUCCGUGAGCCACCAGUUUUACAGUUUUCAGGCUGUCAUGUUCAUACAUUAAAUAAUCCAGAGCAUACAUGCUUCUCUGCGGUUGGUCGGGAUCUGAAGAAGGCGGUGUCGAAAUGCAAAGAUCCUGCAGGUGGUUCGGCUUGCAAAGGCACAUAUCAUCACCGACAGACCAAUCCAGCAAAUUUGUGUGAGGAGGAAGACUGAGGNNNNNNNNNNNNNNNNNNNNNNNNNNNNNNNNNNNNNNNNNNNNNNNNNNNNNNNNNNNNNNNNNNNNNNNNNNNNNNNNNNNNNNNNNNNNNNNNNNNNUACCAUGUCGAUAUUGUCUCCACUGGUCACACACCGAAUAAAGUUCAAGUCGUUGGUCCAUUUGAGGGAUGGCGUCGAAAACAAGCCUGAGCUUCCAGAGAUUAGGCAUUGCGUCCGCCUCAAAUCUUAGCCAGGCUAUUCCAAUCAUGAACCUCAGCUUCAAGUACUUGAGAGCUGUGAAUCCAGCACCCGUGCCAAAUAUUAUCUUAACAUUAGGUGACUUCUCCACAUACAACGACAGGGCAGUGAGGGCAGUCAACCCUCUAAGAAUAUCAACAUUAUGUACCGACAGUUCACUCAAUGCAAUCUUCAGAAUGCACAGGUUGCCAAGUUGGAUCCUCCACCUAUGCAUUUGGCAAAAUACGACGGGGCUGUGUGGUGAGACCUCAGAUCUCUGGAUAUGGUGGGUAGGUUUAUUUAAAAUCCAGCCAACUCUUGCUCUUGAAGCGUCACCAUAGCUAACCGAGGACCCGCAAGUCACCAGUUUUACAGUUUUCAGGCUGUCAUGUUCAUACAUUAAAUAACCCAGAGCAUACAUGCUUCUCUCCAGUUGGUCGGAAUCUGAAGAAGGCGGUGUCGAAAUGCAAAGAUCCUGCAGGUGGUUCGGCCUGCAAAGGCUCAUCUCAUCGUCGACAGACCAAUCCAGCAAAUUUGUGUCAGGAGGAAGACUGAGGNNNNNNNNNNNNNNNNNNNNNNNNNNNNNNNNNNNNNNNNNNNNNNNNNNNNNNNNNNNNNNNNNNNNNNNNNNNNNNNNNNNNNNNNNNNNNNNNNNNNAGUACGUAUACUACGUAGUAUAUAUAUAUAUAUAUAUAUAUAUAUAUAUAUAUAUAUAUAUACAUAUAAUAUAUUAUAAAACAAUUCACAGUUAUGCAAAUAUAGUAUCCCAGCGUCAGACAGAACACGAGUAUUGCAAGUGCAGUAAAAGCAGGAAAAACACGUUCAACCUUGCCUUAUUUCCUUAUUUCCGGUUGAUCGUUGUACAAACGACUUUAAGAAAAAUAAACAACUGGAAAGUAAAAUCAUGAUUUUACACUCUUAGAGCAGAUUAAUCUAAAUACCAAACUAGGAGUAAAUACAUUUUCAGAACAACUGACUGAAUAUCGAAGGGUCCAAAUUGUUUUUUAUUCAGAGUUUGAAAAAUCUUGAACAAAAAAUAGAGGGAAAGCUAGAGACUGCAUUGGAAGUAACUGAGAGUUCUGUUUUACUGUAAAGAUAAAGUUGGGUGAUGGAGAUGAAGAUCGUUAGAACACCAUAUGAAAACAUUAUUGGAACACAAAUUGCAACUGGAAAUAACAGCUAGUGACUAAAACUCGGAUGUUUCUGCAGGCACUUUCUCUGGAGCUCAUUCAUGUCUUCUCUUUUUGUAUGAUCAGCAGAGCGCUCCCAGGAAAUUCAGACUGAGAAUGAGGCACAGCCAGCACUGCAUGGAAAUAUGAAGAGAAACGCUGUGUCAUUGAAAUCAUGGAGCAAACUUGAUAAAGAAAAAUAAUAUACAAAGCGAGUACGUACAAGGUAAGUAACUUACUCAUAUCUUGCAUGCAUGCAUCCAACCUUUUAUUCAGUCGACCGACUCAGCAGCCCAUCACGGCGCACACAAUCCAACUUACUCAUAUAUUGUAUGCAUGCAUUCUUUAUUCAGUUGACCGACUCAGCAACCCAUCACUGCGCACACAAUCCGCUCGCCCCGGUAUGGCCGUGUGGCAAACAAAUCCCAGACAGGCGGUUCCCCAUCCGGGGUCCAUGAAUGAAGCUCAACCACCUUUUCAUCUGUUGAAUCGUUUGGACGCCCGAUAACAAUCAGCCGGUCACCACACGCUCGGAAACCCAUGUCCCAGCCAUCUUUGUCCUUAGACUGCACGGGCAAUUUUCCAAGAGUGGUCCACUUGUUGUCCAGCUUAUCAUACAGCUUCAAAUCAUUAUUCUCACUGUAAUCAGCAGCAUAAAGCUCGUUGUUCACAACCGCAAGGAGCGGAGGAGCUCCCGCGAAUGUCUCGUUGAGCCCCUGAGACAUGUUGUCGAUGACCCUCCAUGACCGCAGGUUCAAGUCAUACUCCUCACCGCAAGUCAACACCUGGUGGCUACUGGAAUAACCACCGAUGACAUAGAACUUGCCGUCCAUGAAGGCGCCAGAGCAUCCGUACCUGGCCCUAUUCAUGCUGGGAAGGGGUGUCCAAGUAUGUGUCUCCGAGUCAUACAUCUCUGCCGUGCUCAAUACAUUAGUACCAGAAGGAUCAAGGCCUCCCGCGACGUACGCCUUCUCACCUACACUGGCUGACCCAAACCAGGCCCGCGGGGUGUUGAUCGCAUCAGCAUCAGCAUCAGGCAGCCCUGUCCAUGAAUUGGUAAGGAUGCUAUAUCUCAAGGAAACCCCUGCGGACCCAAACACCAGCAGCUCGGUUCCUACAGCCAGUGACUCCCAGAAUCUGCUUUGAGCCGGUGGCAUCUUGGGCACUUUGAUCCAGCGCCCGGUGGACGGGUCAUAAGCAUCCCACUCCGGAGGAUUAUUAUUACCGCAGGAGAGGUAGAUCCAGUGCUCUGCCACCCCAUUCUUGCGACGAAGGCGGUAGAUGUCCCCGUCGCGAACCACCGAAUUGAAUUCACGGUUGAGGGAGGCGAUGGAGGCGCCGUAGUCCCGCCUGGACACAAGGUGGAGGCAACGGAUGAAGAGCUCCCGACCUAUCACAUCAAUGGUAUUGCUCCACGACACCACGGUCUGCUGCGCUCCACCUGACAAAAGCCAACAGCUCAUCCAUCGUCUUACUAAUUUCUACGAGUAAUUAAUAGCUAUUGGAACUCCUGUUGACUGAAUAGCAUACCUGGAGGAUUCAGGCGUGAACAGGACUCUGGUGACCUCGAUGAUACCCUGCAGGUUACAACUACCAUUUAGAGCAUGAGCAUGAAUAGUCAAAUCAGGUUUAAUCGAAUAACUCAACAUCAACAAAAGUAGUUUACAACAGCAACAAAAGUAGUACCUUUUAUCGCCAUGGGAACCGGAAUCCACUAAUUUCACCUCGAUUAUAGGAUUGCUCAGAUGAUUGCUAACAACACCGAUCCUCGCGACAUACUGCAGAUCAACAGCCGCACCCCCAAAUUUAGCGGAGACCUCUCUAAGGCCCGUCAUAUGCUCGAUGCUGAUUAGUGCAUUACCAUGUCGAUAUUGUCUCCACUGGUCACGCUUAGAAUAAAGUUCAAGUCGUUGGUCCAUUUGAGGGAUGGCGUCGAAAACAAGCCUGAGCUUCCAGAGAUUAGGCAUUGCGUCCGCCUCAAAUCUUAGCCAAGCUAUUCCACUCAUGAACCUCAGCUUCAAGUACUUGAGAGCUGUGAAUCCAGCAGCCGUGCCAAAGAUUAUCUUAACAUUAGGUGACUUGUCCACAUACAAUGACAGGGCAGUGAGGGCAGGAAACCCACUAAGAAUAUCAACGUCAUUUACUGACAGUCCAUCCACUGCAAUCUUCAGAAUGCAUAGGUUGCCAAGUUGGAUCUUCCACCUAUGCAUUUCGCAAAAUACGACGGGGCUGUGUGGUGAGACCUCGAAUCUCUGGAGAUGGUGGAUAGGUCUAUCCAAGACCCACAAAACUCUUGCUUCUGAAGCGUCACCAUAGCUAACCGAGGAUCCAUGAGCCACCAGUUUUACAGUUUUCAGGCUGUCAUGUUCAUACAUUAAAUAAUCCAGAACAUACAUGUUUCUCUUCAAAUGGUCGGAAUCUGAAGAAGGCGAUGUAGAAAUGCAAAGAUCCUGCAGGUGGCUCGGCUUGCAAAGGCACAUAUCAUCACCGACAGACCAAUCCAGCAAAUUUGUGUCAGGAGGAAGACUGAGGUGCAACAAGCGUGGGAGAUAUAUAAUGUCCCAUGGAACAUAAGUCCCCCUUGGUGUAUCCAUAACAUCAAGUGUUUCCAAACACUGCAGCCCU